UAAGGAAUAUUGGUCAAUGGGCGGAAGCCUGAACCAGCCAUGCCGCGUGCAGGAAGACGGCCCUACGGGUUGUAAACUGCUUUUGCAGGGGAAUAAACCCCCGUACGUGUACGGGGCUGAAUGUACUCUGAGAAUAAGGAUCGGCUAACUCCGUGCCAGCAGCCGCGGUAAUACGGAGGAUCCAAGCGUUAUCCGGAUUUAUUGGGUUUAAAGGGUGCGUAGGUGGCCUGUUAAGUCAGGGGUGAAAGACGGUAGCUUAACUAUCGCAGUGCCCUUGAUACUGAUGGGCUUGAAUGAACUAGAGGUAGGCGGAAUGUGACAAGUAGCGGUGAAAUGCAUAGAUAUGUCACAGAACACCAAUUGCGAAGGCAGCUUACUAUGGUUUUAUUGACACUGAGGCACGAAAGCGUGGGGAUCAAACAGGAUUAGAUACCCCCGUAGUCC
Molecule: ribosomal RNA, 444 nt
Filed under: uncultured bacterium
Lineage: Bacteria
Description: bacterial SSU rRNA
Rfam family: Bacterial small subunit ribosomal RNA
Source: RNAcentral